Molecule: ribosomal RNA, 775 nt
Filed under: uncultured Neocallimastigales
Lineage: Eukaryota; Fungi; Neocallimastigomycota; Neocallimastigomycetes; Neocallimastigales
Description: partial large subunit ribosomal RNA
Rfam family: Eukaryotic large subunit ribosomal RNA
Source: RNAcentral
UAUGUGAUCGUCUCUCGCAUAUCAAUAAGCGGAGGAAAAGAAACUAACAAGGAUUCCCUUAGUAACGGCGAGUGAAGCGGGAAGAGCUCAAAUUUGAAAUCUUCAAGGUUUUACCUUGACGAAUUGUAGGUUAAAGAAGUGUUUUCUGUUGAAGUUUUGGUAAAAGUUCUUUGGAAUAGGACAUCAUAGAGGGUGAGAAUCCCGUAUUUGACCAUUAUUUUCAGCUGUGUGAUACACUUCCAAAGAGUCGGAUUGUUUGGGAAUGCAGUCCAAAAUGGGUGGUAAAUUUCAUCUAAAGCUAAAUAUUGGCGAGAGACCGAUAGCGAACAAGUACCGUGAGGGAAAGAUGAAAAGAACUUUGAAAAGAGAGUUAAACAGUACGUGAAAUUGUCAAAAGGGAAGCGUUUGACACCAGUGUUGUUUUCUCGAAAAUCAAUUAAAAAGAGUUUAGAUUUUGUUGUGUAUUGACCUUAACAGCUUGCAUUUCAAUUUUCUUGCUUUUUUUAAUGCACUUUUCGUUUAACAAGUCAACAUCAGUUUCUUUUGUUGUAAAAAGGUCAUUGGAAGGUGGCUUUCUUUUCGGAGAAAGUGUUUAUAGCCUUUGACUCCUGCAAUCGGAGAGACUGAGGUCUGCAGCGUAGAUCCUUCGGGGUUAGAUACAUUUGUGCUAAGUUAUAGCUUUUUAUAGACAACUUGUUGACUAUGAUUAGUCUUGUAGCUUACUCGCUUAUGCUAUUUUACCUACGCUUAGGAUGUUGAAGAUGUAGCACAUCAU